UACGUAGGCAGCGAGCGUUGUUCGGAGUUACUGGGCGUAAAGGGUGUGUAGGCGGUUGGUUAAGUUUGGGGUGAAAUCUCCCGGCGCAACUGGGAGGGUGCGCCGAAUACUGAAUGACUUGGAGUGCGGGAGAGGAAAGUGGAAUUCCUGGUGUAGCGGUGAAAUGCGUAGAUAUCAGGAGGAACACCGGUGGUGUAGACGGCUUUCUGGACCGUAACUGGCGCUGAGACACGAAAGCGUGGGUAGCAAACAGG
This 254-nucleotide ribosomal RNA is filed under the name uncultured bacterium. Its description in RNAcentral is "partial 16S ribosomal RNA". It matches the Rfam family "Bacterial small subunit ribosomal RNA", at positions 524 to 776 of the family's 1533-position model. The record is from RNAcentral.